This 504-nucleotide ribosomal RNA is filed under the name uncultured bacterium. Its description in RNAcentral is "partial 16S ribosomal RNA". It matches the Rfam family "Bacterial small subunit ribosomal RNA", at positions 30 to 523 of the family's 1533-position model. The record is from RNAcentral.
AUUGAACGCUGGCGGCAGGCCUAACACAUGCAAGUCGAGCGGUAGCACAGGGAGCUUGCUCCUGGGUGACGAGCGGCGGACGGGUGAGUAAUGUCUGGGAAACUGCCUGAUGGAGGGGGAUAACUACUGGAAACGGUAGCUAAUACCGCAUAACGUCGCAAGACCAAAGAGGGGGACCUUCGGGCCUCUUGCCAUCAGAUGUGCCCAGAUGGGAUUGGCUAGUAGGUGGGGUAACGGCUCACCUAGGCGACGAUCCCUAGCUGGUCUGAGAGGAUGCCCAGCCACACUGGAACUUAGACACGGUCCAGACUCCUCUGGGAGGCAGCAGUGGGCAAUAGUGGACAAUGGGCGCAAGCCUGAUGCAGCCAGGCCGGGUGUAUGAAGAUGGCCUUGUGGUUGUAAAGUACUUUCAGCGGGGAGGAAGGUGUUGGGGUUAAUAACCUCAGCAAUUGACGUUACCCGCAGAAGAAGCACCGGCUAACUCCGUGCCAGCCGCCGCCGUAA